AACACAGAUAAAAAUGCCAGGUCUGAACUGCCUCCAGGGAUAACCUCCCCUCUAUAAUAUGAAUGAACACAGCAUCUUGGCUGGGGAAUACAAACGCCAAAAAAUUCACAGUGCAGGCUUGGUGUCUUGCUGAGGCCUCCCAAUUCCCAGCAGUGGUCGGGCUAGCUUUUUUGUGGUUGUUUGUUUCUGUAUUGAAAAGGUGCAUUGGAUUCUAGACCUCCAUGUACGACAAUUUGUACCUACAUGGAUUUGAAGAUUCGGAGGCGGGAUCAGCAGAUUCUUACACUAGCAGACCAUCCGAUUCUGAUGUCUCUCUGGAAGAAGACAGAGAAGCAAUACGCCAAGAGAGAGAACAGCAAGCUGCAGUACAACUUGAGAGAGCCAAGACCAAACCAGUGGCAUUUGCUGUGAGGACGAAUGUGAGUUAUUGCGGGGCCCUGGAUGAAGAUGUCCCUGUACCGGGCACUGCUAUUUCUUUCGAUGCCAAGGAUUUUUUACACAUUAAGGAGAAAUACAACAAUGACUGGUGGAUUGGGAGGUUAGUUAAAGAAGGUUGCGAGAUUGGCUUCAUUCCAAGUCCGCUAAGAUUGGAGAAUAUCAGAAUACAGCAAGAACAGAAGAGAGGAAGAUUUCAUACAGGUAAACCAAGUGGCACUUCUUCUUCUAGCCUUGGAGAAAUGGUAACGGGAACAUUUCGGGCAACCCCACCAUCUGCUGCCAAGCCGAAGCAGAAAGUGACUGAACAUGUUGCGCCUUACGACGUUGUGCCAUCCAUGAGGCCGGUAGUGUUAGUGGGUCCGUCGCUUAAAGGCUAUGAGGUGACGGACAUGAUGCAGAAAGCCCUUUUUGACUUCCUGAAGCACAGGUUUGAUGGGAGGAUAUCCAUCACAAGGGUCACUGCUGACAUUUCUCUGGCCAAGAGAUCGGUACUGAAUAAUCCCAGCAGAAGAGCAAUAAUAGAACGUUCUAACACCAGGUCCAGUUUGGCUGAAGUACAGAGCGAGAUCGAGAGGAUCUUUGAGUUGGCGCGCUCUUUACAGCUCGUGAUUCUCGAUGCAGAUACCAUUAAUCAUCCAGCACAACUAAUCAAGACGUCAUUAGCUCCGAUUAUCGUUCAUGUCAAAGUGUCUUCUCCAAAGGUAUUACAGCGACUCAUCAAAUCCAGAGGAAAAUCCCAAAGCAAACACCUAAAUGUACAACUAGUAGCUGCUGACAAACUUGCCCAAUGCCCACCAGAAAUGUUUGAUGUCAUUUUGGAUGAGAAUCAACUAGAAGACGCCUGUGAGCACUUGGCGGAUUAUCUAGAAGCUUACUGGCGAGCCACACAUACCACUAGUAGCACACCCAUGACUCCUCUUCUGGGAAGAAAUCUAGGAUCUACAGCUCUUACAUCAUAUCCUACAGCGAUCUCUGGAUUACAGAGCCAACGCAUGAGACACAAUAACCAUUCAACUGAAAAUUCGCCCAUCGAGAGAAGAAGCUUAAUGACCUCAGAUGAAAAUUAUCACAAUGAAAUAGCUCGGAAAAGCAGAAACCGCUUGUCUUCCAGUUCUCAACACAGUCGUGACCAUUAUCCUCUUGUGGAAGAAGAGUAUUCUGAUGCCUACCAGGACACUUAUAAACCUCAUCGGAACCGUGGCUCCCCAGGAGGAUAUAGCCAUGAUUCCAGGCACAGGCUUUGAGUUUUUUUGAACUUAUGAAAAACAAAACAAAAAAGAGAUAGUGGUCAUUGACCAGUUUGCUGUCCAGAAAACUUACAGUGCAUUGUUUUGUUAUGCAUUGCAAGUCAUACAGACAACAAAAAGGUCAAGAUACUGACAGCAACAUAAGGUAGAUAGAAUAUACAAAUCAUUUUAUUUUGCCAGCUGUAAGAGUGUCACUUGAUGCUACAUCACAGGCAAAAUGCUUCACCACAUCCAUGAGUAUUUACGUGUAGGUAGAACUUUAUUGUGCCCUCUCGACAGACCUUUUUGCUUUGACAUUUACAUUUGAGCAGUAUGUGCUUACAUGGAUUAUUGCACACAUCCAUUUUGUAGUCUAGGGCAGGGGUCGUCCACUUUACUUCUUGAUAACCUGUGCCAUUUAAGUCUUGGAGAUCUCCUUGCAUGAGGCUCGAUAAAAGGACCUAGUAAAGCAUGGGCGGGUCUUGGAAAGCGACUUGUUCAGGGGUGGGUCUUCACAGUCUCCUUACCUAGACAACAGUGGUUCUAGCAUGGAUAAGUCUCUUAAUGGGUUCUCCAAGGUGUCUUCUAUGAGGAAUACUUGGACAUAUUACAGCUUCUAAUGAUGACAAGAAUGGGUCUCCAAUAGGGUCUUUUUGGUGGUCGCCUUGUGUGUGCAAACAGGAGACUUAAGUUAACCAUAGAAAAUUCAGUGAGUAUAUGUGGGUGUAGGGGAGAAAGAAAAAGCACAGGGAUUUCCUAUAGAUGGACAUGAUCUUAGCUUCCAGCAGAUAUCUUACUAGGUCUGGUGAGACAUCUGUCUCUCAAUAGUUAUUCUAAAAGAUUUGAGAGACCACUCCAGUUGACUUCCAUUGGUGGUCUUCUCAACAGCGUGACCUGUUCAUAGCAUAGGCUUCUGUAUCCAUACAAAGAGAUUCUUAUGGCUUAACCGGCCCAAGACUUUUGAGGAAUUUAGUAGGGGACUCCUGUUUAAGGGUACUUGUCAAGGCACGUAUAGGAACAAUUUCCUGCACUGGGAAAUUUCCAAAAGAACAGUUCCAGUUGGAACCAAUUUAUAAAGCCAAUUCCUGUUGGAAUUUGGGUAAAUUGACUGGAAAGUCUACUUGAGCAUGUUGCAUUCACUUUAAAAUAAACUGGACAGGAUUAUGGGUGGGAUGGGUGUAGACAAAGAGAACAUUUAAUAAUAAAAAAAGAAAUAAAAUAAAAUCUCUAUACCGUACAUUUAUUUUUACUAUAUAGUAUAAAACAUAUCAACAGUUUUCAUAAAACCAAUAAUAAUAAUACACAAGAAAAUACACAGAACUCCAAAGUGACUUUUAAAACUUUCCAAAAAUCUGAUUUGAAAUCUUUUAAAUUUUUACAGAAAUGCUCAGAUGUUUGUUCUUUGUUUUUUAGUCUGUGUAUGUUAAAACAAUAGAGAUGAACUGGGCAAUAAUGAUGUCAGUUUACAUCAGAAGUAAUGCGCUUUGGACAAAACCUUAGCAAAAUAUCAUACCGGAUUAUUUAUUUCCUACAGAUAAAAAAAAAAAUCUUAUUUUCUGGUUUAAUGCAAAAAAAGACAUAUUUUGCUAACUGUAAUGUGUUUCUGCUAUAGAAAAUCGGGGUAAUGUCAAUGUUGAAUGUUAACCUUGGCCAGGCACCUUUAGGUACCAAAAUAUAUAUUUAAUAUAUCUUAUAUAUAAAAUGGUUGAUAAUCAUUUUUCAUAUACAGAGCUCCAAACUACCCCCAUAGACAUAGAGAAAAAGGGAAGUUUUGCGUACUCAGAACUUCUGACAGACUUAUAAGGAGUUAUACAGUAAGUGAUAAGUGCCCAGGAGAAGGAUCAUUCAUGAUAAGUGCCCAGGAGGAGGAUCUUACAUGAUAAGUGCCCAGAAGGAGGAUCAUUCAUGAUAAGUGCUCAGGAGAAGGAUCAUUCAUGAUAAGUGCCCAGGAGGAGGAUCAUUCAUGAUAAGUGCCCAAACUCUAAGCCCUUCCCCAGCCACUUCUCUUAGCUUUAAUUCUCCGCUCUAGUAGUCACCUAUUUGGAUACUAGAGCUGUCACUCAGAGCUAAGAGGAGGGGCAAGGAAAGCUCACUUGGCCUGAAGGGUCCACCUCCUGAGCACUUGCAAUAUCGGCGCUCAGGAUAAUAAAGCAUAUUUUUCCUUGGCUGUGCAACCUGCAUAGUAAGAACCUUAGGUAUGAGUUUACUUCUCUGGCUGCAAACCAUUGAAAGACUGAGUUGUGCAAUAGUUUCAUGUAUCACAAUAAAGGUUAAUUAAUAAGACAAAUCAUGUGGAAAAAAAAAAAAGGUUAAAGCCCCAACCUAACAUCAACUCUCACAAUAGAGAUUUAUCAAAACUAUCGCAGAACUGGAUUGGAAAACCAAUAUCCAAUCCAGUUCUUGUUUUCACUAUUCAAAAAGAGUCUGAAUCAGUUUGCUAUGAGCAACUACCCCAUGACAUUUUUGAUAAAUUUCCUGCAAUGUUAUGCACUUGCCAAUGGGCGGUGUAAAUUUAGCACUAAACUGAAAAUUCCAUCUGCACUUGGAGACUCAACUGAAAGAGUGUGAUAGUCUGCAUUGUUGGUGAUGUCCUUGGACCUUGAAUUAAAACACUAAAUUCAAAUGAUGAAUGGUCCCCCCCCCCCCCCAGCCAAAAAAAAUAUAAUAAUAAUAAUAAUAAUACCACAUCCAACCUGAGGACAGGGGUGAUGCACUUAAAAAAAAAAAAAAAAAAAGAAAUUAGCUUUGUUUUUCUAUUCCUGUAGUUUUUGGCACAGAGGGUGUGGUUAACCAUAAUAUUGCUGGAUUAGAAAUAUGUGCAGUAUGAUAUGUACACCUAUUUUUCAUGACCCUAGUUGCAUUACAAUAGAAUGAGAUAAAACAAAUGGUGCCUUCAUUUAGAACUCAUUGACAUCUAAUGUACAGAAACGUUAUCUGUGUAUGGUAUAAAUUGGAGGACAUAUUAAAACAGCGCUGUAUAAUGGGUGUUUUUUUUUUUUGUAGAAUAGAAUUUAUGGUGUGUAGGAAAUCUUUAAAAAUGUCUCAGUAGGAUGGCUUAAGACAAAACAUAUUUAUUUGCCUUAAAUGCCUUUUUAUCAUGUCGGUAGCACUCCAGCACUGAGCAGGUUAAUGGGAUUGGUUGAUAUAGUCAUGUGAUUACAGUAAGGCGUGUUAACGUAAAUCUACCAACAUGUCUGUUACAUGUAGACACAGUAGCUUAAAGGGAUAGGGGAUAAGAUGUCUGAUCAUGGGGGUCCUGCCACUGGGGACCCCUACGAUCUCGGCUGCAGCAGUCACGCCCCCUCCCAUAGACCUGCAUUGAGGGGGUGUGGUUGUGAUGUCACGAGCCUCCGGCGCUGCACCCGACGCUCUAAACGAACGCCGGGUGCAGCAGGGAGAUCACAGGGGUCCCAAGCGCUGGGGCCCCCGCGAUCAGACAUCUUAUCCCCUAUACUUUUGAUAGGGAAUAAGAUGUCUAGGAGAGGAGUUCCCCUUUAAGCUCCUGAGCCCCGAUGCAAAUAUGUGCUGGGGCUUAUACAACGUCAUACCCUCAUGUACUACUGGGAAUAGUAGAGAAGUUUCAGGCAGACAUUUUGUGUGUAGAAGGUGCUGGCAAAAUAAAUUUGCGCUAGGACUGGACGGAUAUGCGCGGUCCUCAUUGACAGCAAUGCAUGUUCAAUCUUUAGUCCGGAUUCUGCUGUGGAAAUUCUGCAGUGUGAACAGGUCAAUGGAAAUCCCAUUGGCUACAAUGUUAGCUUCAUGCUGCGGGAUUUCUGAGGGAAAAUUCCAUAGUGUGAAUGGGCCCAUAUGUGGCAUAGGGGCCUUAGAGCACCCUAUCCUCAGCUUAUGUCAUGCAUGUAUAUAUAGGCAUACUCUUGAUUUACUUCUGGCACUAACACUGAUCAGCUGUUUGCUAGAGCCAAGGUUCUGGCAUACACAGAAAAACAGAGCUGGAAACUGACAGCACCAUACAUUGUGUAGUGGCCAUGUAGGGUUACUGCAACUUAGCUCCUAUUGAAGUAACUUAGCACAGGCAUUACACAACAUAAGAUGUUUGCCUUCAACUCUAUCUUCCUGUGUAUGCCAUCGGCUCUGGUAAAUAGCUGAUUGGUGAGGGUGCCUGGUAUUGGGUCUGGCAAACAGCUUUUUGGUUGGGGUGCCAGCUAUUGGGUCUGGCAAACAGCUCAUCUGUGAGGGUGCCUGGUAUUGGGUCUGGCAAACAGUUGACCAGUGGGGGUAUCAGAUAUUGGGUCUGGCAAACAGCUAAUCGGUGGGAGUAUCAGGUAUAGGGUCUAGUAACAGCUAAUCGAUGGGGAUGCCAGGUAUUGGGUCUGGCAAACAGCUGAUUGGUGGGGAUGCCAUGUGUUGGGUCUGGCAAACAGCUUAUGAGUGGGGGUGCUAGGUAUUGGGUCAGCAUACAGCUGAUUGGUGAGGGUACCAGGUAUAGGGUUUAGCAAACUGCUGAUCAGUGGGGGUGCCAGGUAUUGGGUCUGGCAAACUGGUGAUUGGUGGGGGGUGUCAGGUAUUGGAUCUGGCGAACAAGUGAUUGGUGGGUGUGUCAGGUGUUGGUUCUAGCACACAGUUGAUUGGUGGAGGUGCCAGGUAUCGGGUCUGGCAAACAAAAUCUUUAGACAUAUGCUUUGUAUACGGUAAUUUAUUUGGGAACCAUACUGGAAGAAUGAAAUGGAGCAGUAUAGCUAUAGAGGGUUCAGAGGUAGCUGCUGGGUCCUUUGCCUGAGGGGGUGGGGGGAGGGGGGCAUGGGCCACAUAUGGCACAUAGUAGGUGGGUGAUCCUGUUACAUAUUUUGCAUUGAGACGACGGAGCUUCAGGUUAUGUCACUGAUUUAACCCUUCAAACAACUCUAAGCAACCAAGUCUUCGAUAUAUCUUCAUAGCUUGAUCAUGAAUGGACAAGCUACACUGCUGGACAUUAUUGCAGAGGCUGAUAAGAGGAAACAGGGCUAACACUUGGCAGCCCUGCUCCCGAGGACACUGCCCAUGGGAUAUUAUGUGAAGGUGGGGUGGGAUGAUGAGCACAGAGCCGUUCACUAUAGUUCUCCUUUAGAGUAUAUUAACAGGGGGCAGUAGUGCGGCACGGUUUUUACCAUGCAGGACACUACCUCCCUCCUGUAGGAAUACACUAGAAACUAGCUUUACUUUACAAUUGAUCCAUCCAUGUUCACAUGUAUGUGUCUGUGGUAGUGAUGUCGUAUUGUAGGCUCUAUGAAAUUGCUUGAAUUUCCUUUUUUUUUUUCGUUUUUUUUUUUUUUAAAGAAGCCCCUAUAUUUUUAUAAGAAUCAUAUACCAGAGCAGAGGCAGGAUCACGUAUAUACAUAUAGCACAAAAUUCACUUCACAUUUCGUAUGUAUACUCGCCGGCUGUUCGGAACGCUCUGAACUGUCCAAAAGGAGAAAACGUCUCCUUAUUGCCCAUAGCAACACCAAUCGGAGUUCAGCUUUUACUUAUUAAACUGUGCUGUAAAAUGAAAGCAUGAAUGGUUCCUAUGGCAACACAAUAGGCCUCAUUGAUCCCAAAAAUAUUUUUGCCAUUCUGUAUGAACGGUUGCUAUGGGCCUCACUGAUCAAAAGUGUCCCAUAGCAACCUUUCCUUCUAACAGGCUAAAAUGAAAGCAGCUCUAUGAUUGGUUGCUAUCGGCGACAAGGACAAUUUUUUUGUUUUGGCAGCCCUGCUCGUGUUUGUAGAUGGAGGCCUAGUUUUUCAGUAGUGUCAAGUGCAACUCGUAGCCCAACAUUUUUUGCUCAUAAAAUUGGCAGAGAUUCAGGGUAAGGUCACACGUACCGUCUUUUGCUGCAUAUUUUCUGCAGCUGAUUUUGCUACCCAUUGACCUCAAUGGGUAGGAAACUACACAGCAGCAAAUACAGAGCAAAAAACGGCAUUGAUGACCCUACCCUAACGCCCUAACGGCAAUUAUGACUCCUCGUAGAUCAGUAGUGUGGAUCAUAUUGCCCAAUGGGGCACCAUUUUGGAUAUAUAAUACACACUGACACUCAGCCUUAGUACAUUUACCCAUCCCUAGACUGAUGAAGAGCUAACCAGCCAAAAAAUAAAAUAAAGUCAGAAGUAAAUCUCUGUAUUUGGGGGGGGGGGAUGGGUCUGUAGUGAUUUGGUUAAAAAAUGUAUGGUCUAUUCAGCAGAAAAAAACUAGCUAUAAAAGAAUAAUUGUCCAAAAGAGGACUACUUCAAUUAUUGGUAUAGUACAGUGGUCUCCAAACUGUGGCCCUCCAGCUGUUGCAAGACUACAACUCCCAGCAUGCCCGGACAGCCGUUGGCUGUCCGGGCAUGCUGGGAGUUGUAGUUUUGCAACAGCUGGAGGCACCCUGGUUGGGAAACAAUGGUUUAUGUAGAGGACAGUAGCUUCUUCAGGGUCCUAUACAGUACACACAGUGUCCCAAAUGGAGCCACCCUUACUUGGUGUCCAAAGGAGCAGCUAAACCUGGCACAGGUAAGGAGUAGUAUAGAACUUGUAGUUCCUCCCUGUACUGUAGGGGGCGCUACCGGACAUCAAAAUGGUGCAUGCACUUCAGUAAUAGAGGUGAUUUACCAGUAAAAUGUCCAUUCUGAUUGGUCAGUUCCUCCAGUUGUGACACGUUUCACAGAUCUGGACUGUCUGUACAUUGUAUGUUGAGUCUGGUUUCAAGUUACGAUGGUCCAGAAAAAAACAUUGUGGCCCUCAUUUACUUAGAAAAUCGGGUUGUAAGUCUACCUUGCUUUCUUACCCGACUGCUUUUUUCCCCUGGUAUUUAUUAUUAUGUCGCAUCCUGUUUGUCGCACGUGGGUUUUGUCGGUUUUGGUUUCCAACUCCUCUGAGCUGUCGGGAAAAAAUCCACAACAAUUCAACAAAUUCGGGUUGGAAACCUUUAUAAAUACGUGGGAAAGCUCAGAAAUGUCGGGUUACGCCCCUUUUUCGGGUUUGGGAGAAUCCACAUCGGGUCCGUCGGGGAAAAAUGUUGCAUCGUGUCCAGACUGGCGCACCAUGUCUGCGACAUGGCGCAGACAAAGAUGCGACAAAAAAAAACGACAAAAGAAGUCGGGUUUAGAAUAGUAAAUGAGGGCCUGUAUGUUGAAACUAUUGUAUGUUGAGGCCAUUGUAAGUUGAGGGAUCACUGUAUGUUCCUUGGAUGGUGCCAGGCGGAGCACCAGGAGAGGUCUUCUAGGUCAAUUUUCACAGUAAACUACUUUGCAAAGUAUGAACAGUGUACAAAAGCAAAUUCGGGGGGCCUUCUCCUGGUGUGGGCCCUAGAAUAAAAUAUUAGCUAUUCAGUUCUAGAUUUGUCCUAAUGUGCUGCAACGACUGUAAAUAGUCCCAGCAACCCCUUUAGAUCUGGUGUGGCUGAAUUGUGUAAUCUGGUCCCCCACAUCUCUCAAGUCCCAUAGCACUGCUGUCUGUAUGUAGGCCAUAGGAUUGCAAUUUUCAAUUUAAAGGGGUUGUCUAAGGCUGGGUUCACACCACGUUUUUCAAAUACGGUUACCGUAUGCGGUUUUCCGCUAAAAAACGUAUGGCAAAAACCGUAUGCAACCGUAUACAACCGUAUGACUCCAAAUUAAAACGUAUAUGGUUUUUCCUCGUACGGUUCUAUCCGUUUGCAUCAGUUUUUGCCAACGGUUUUGCUAUUUUGUUGGAAUUAGUUUUCCAGCAAUGUAAUAAAGUUACUAUUGUUCUAUUGAAAUUCCAAUCUGCGCAUGUGUCAACUCCAAAAACGGAUUAGAAAAACCGUGUGCAACCAUAUUCUGAAAUUCUGUGUACGGUUCUCAUAGACAACAAUGUUAAAAGAACCGCAUACGGUUCGCAUACGGUUUUCCAACUGGAGGCAAAAACGUGGUCGACAGCAUUUUUGCCUACGGUUGAAAAAUCGGCAAAACCGUAUCCGAGGCAAAACGGAUGCAACCGUACACAACAUUUGGAAUACGGUUUACAAUGCAUUCUCUAUGCAUACGGUUUCAGAUACGGUUUCGGAUACGGUCGUAUACGUUUUUUUUGCGGAAAACCGUAUAUGGUUACCGUAUUUGAAAAACGUGGUGUGAACGCAGCCUAACAAAGAUAGCACCAGUUCAUAUGCCCUGUUAGCACUCCUGAACAUCAACAUCCCUCUAUAUCAGUG
This is an RNA transcript of Hyla sarda, 9784 nucleotides long. It is a transcript of the gene named calcium voltage-gated channel auxiliary subunit beta 4, with no coding region annotated. The record is from RefSeq and is a predicted model, not a curated record. The transcript is spliced from 14 exons. NCBI's taxonomy places the organism in Eukaryota, Metazoa, Chordata, Amphibia, Anura, Hylidae.